CUCAGAAAUGCCAUUCAGUGGCUUGAGUGAAUGGAUACUCCACUCUGCCCAUCGGCUCUACGCUGUGGCUCUCCUCUCCUCUGUCAUUGCUGGAGCUGGAUGCAGGGAAAAUUUUCAGGAUAAAGAUGAAGACACAUUGGCCACUGCCAGUCCCCCACAGUUCUAUCAUAUGGUUCCCUGACCUGGAACAGCAGAAGAGGGACUCCUGGGGCUUUUUCCCAGUUUGAGUCCCCUGCCGUUCAGGACCAGGACCAGAUUGCAUCCUGCAUUAAUUCCUCACUUCUACACUCGG
RNAcentral lists this long non-coding RNA (292 nucleotides) under Cavia porcellus (domestic guinea pig). RNAcentral's name for it is "lncRNA (ENSCPOG00000037245.1)". Lineage: Eukaryota; Metazoa; Chordata; Mammalia; Rodentia; Caviidae. The record is from RNAcentral.